UAGGGAAUCUUCGGCAAUGGACGAAAGUCUGACCGAGCAACGCCGCGUGCGUGAAGAAGGUUUUCGGAUCGUAAAACUCUGUUGUUAGAGAAGAACAAGGACGUUAGUAACUGAACGUCCCCUGACGGUAUCUAACCAGAAAGCCACGGCUAACUACGUGCCAGCAGCCGCGGUAAUACGUAGGUGGCAAGCGUUGUCCGGAUUUAUUGGGCGUAAAGCGAGCGCAGGCGGUUUCUUAAGUCUGAUGUGAAAGCCCCCGGCUCAACCGGGGAGGGUCAUUGGAAACUGGGAGACUUGAGUGCAGAAGAGGAGGGUGGAAUUCCAUGUGUAGCGGUGAAAUGCGUAGAUAUAUGGAGGAACACCAGUGGCGAAGGCGGCUCUCUGGUCUGUAACUGACGCUGAGGCUCGAAAGCGUGGGGAGCAAACAGG
This 429-nucleotide ribosomal RNA is filed under the name Gemmatimonadota bacterium. RNAcentral's name for it is "Gemmatimonadetes bacterium partial 16S ribosomal RNA". It matches the Rfam family "Bacterial small subunit ribosomal RNA", at positions 355 to 776 of the family's 1533-position model. The record is from RNAcentral. Lineage: Bacteria; Pseudomonadati; Gemmatimonadota.